RNAcentral lists this ribosomal RNA (383 nucleotides) under uncultured eukaryote. RNAcentral's name for it is "partial 18S ribosomal RNA". It matches the Rfam family "Eukaryotic small subunit ribosomal RNA", at positions 592 to 976 of the family's 1831-position model. The record is from RNAcentral.
CAAUAGCGUAUAUUAAAGUUGUUGCGGUUAAAAAGCUCGUAGUUGGAUUUCUGGUAGGAGCGACCGUGCCGAACUUGAUUGUUCGAGUAUUGUGUUGUCUUCAGCCAUCCUCGUGGAGAACUUUUCUAACAUUAACUUGUUGGGAUUGGGACCCGCGUCGUUUACUGUGAAAAAAUUAGAGUGUUUAAAGCAGGCAUUAGCUUGAAUACAUUAGCAUGGAAUAAUAAGAUAGGACUUUGGUACUAUUUUGUUGGUUUGCAUACCAAAUUAAUGAUCAACAGGAACAGUUUGAGGAUAUUCGUAUGAACAUGUCAGAGGUGAAAUUCUUGGAUUUUGAUCAGACGAACUACUGCGAAAGCAUUUAUCAAGGAUGUUUUCAUUAA